UGUAAAUAAUGGGCCAAGUUCAUUAUAGAUAGGGAUAAUUGUAAGUAGUAAGAAUGUUCAGUAAGAUCUACAAGCACAUCACAAUCACCAAAACACAAUUUUGUCACUAAUCCAUCUGUGUCCUUUGUUUAAUAUGCGCAAAGACCAAGGUGAGCGACACAGGCUCUUAUGAGCCCCUAGUUCUUUGUUUAAUGGUAAUGUCGAUCGCUCUUAGACUUAUGUGGUCAUGGUAUAUUAAUACUUUUUCUGCUCAUGAUUGAAAAUCAUCAUACCACACAGCUUACAUUUUAUAUAUACUACCGACAGGGACAUAAUCAAAUCUUAAUUCAGGUAAAAAAAAACUUGUUUAUUACACUAAUCAUAACUUCCAAACAAGCCUGCAUAUUAGCUGAAUAUAUUGAUAAUUUAUUUCACUUUGCCUGUGGAUUUUAAUGUGGAAGCCAGUGUAAUCUUGAAUGCUACAUUUCAUUUGGAAAUGCAGGUUAACAUUAGAAUGACGCGAAAUUGUUGUUACUCAAUCAAAAUAACGUAUUAUAAUUAAAUAUGCAUGUUAUGUAAUUAAUCAAAUCCUGCAGAAUGGCAUACUUCGAUGAUGAAUAAAUAAAGGCAACAGUAGUAUACCGCUGUUCAAAACUCAUAAAUCGAUAGAAAAAAAAAAAAUCGGGUUACAAACCAAAACUUAGGGAAACGUAUUAAAUGACAAAAACAACCAGGAAAAAAGGCAGCAGCAUUGGCUCUUAUCAUCUCAGAGUACAUGAUGAGCAACACUCACAUGCCUAGUAACUCCUCUUACUGGUACAAAUAGUCUUUUCGCACUUUUUAAUAUAUCACAUUUCAUUUUCCAGUGUAGGGACAAACUAGGGCGAAACAGGAAACCGAGGUCUAUGUGGAUUAGAAAAUGGCUAAAAAGGAUGAUAUGACCAAUAUAUAUAUCACUCUACUUCAGAAGUUUAAAACACCCACAGACGUCUACGAUCUCCAUUAUCAUUAAUGAUGUCUGCUACGCCACCAAAGCCGAGUUGGCUGUUUGGGUAAUCUGGUGUCCUACCGCAACGGAGAUGUGGACCGCCACUGCUGAGCAGUUUGAGUAAAUAUGGAAAUUUCCAACAUGAUGUGGUGCUCUGGAUGGCAGGUAUGUGGUGGUCACUUGCUCUAUCCGAAAUCGUGUUGCCUUCGUG
RNAcentral lists this long non-coding RNA (1178 nucleotides) under Mytilus galloprovincialis (Mediterranean mussel). The record is from RNAcentral. Lineage: Eukaryota; Metazoa; Mollusca; Bivalvia; Mytilida; Mytilidae.